RNAcentral lists this ribosomal RNA (590 nucleotides) under Streptomyces sp. RNAcentral's name for it is "bacterial SSU rRNA". It matches the Rfam family "Bacterial small subunit ribosomal RNA", at positions 39 to 648 of the family's 1533-position model. The record is from RNAcentral. Lineage: Bacteria; Bacillati; Actinomycetota; Actinomycetes; Kitasatosporales; Streptomycetaceae.
GAGGCGGGGCUAACAUGCAAGUCGAACGAUGAAGCCCUUCGGGGUGGAUUAGUGGCGAACGGGUGAGUAACACGUGGGCAAUCUGCCCUUCACUCUGGGACAAGCCCUGGAAACGGGGUCUAAUACCGGAUAACACUCCUGCCUGCAUGGGUGGGGGUUAAAAGCUCCGGCGGUGAAGGAUGAGCCCGCGGCCUAUCAGCUUGUUGGUGGGGUAAUGGCCUACCAAGGCGACGACGGGUAGCCGGCCUGAGAGGGCGACCGGCCACACUGGGACUGAGACACGGCCCAGACUCCUACGGGAGGCAGCAGUGGGGAAUAUUGCACAAUGGGCGAAAGCCUGAUGCAGCGACGCCGCGUGAGGGAUGACGGCCUUCGGGUUGUAAACCUCUUUCAGCAGGGAAGAAGCGAAAGUGACGGUACCUGCAGAAGAAGCGCCGGCUAACUACGUGCCAGCAGCCGCGGUAAUACGUAGGGCGCAAGCGUUGUCCGGAAUUAUUGGGCGUAAAGAGCUCGUAGGCGGCUUGUCGCGUCGGAUGUGAAAGCCCGGGGCUUAACCCCGGGUCUGCAUUCUAUACGGGCAGGCUAGAGUG